Molecule: ribosomal RNA, 2143 nt
Filed under: Protoopalina caudata
Lineage: Eukaryota; Bigyra; Opalinata; Opalinidae
Description: partial small subunit ribosomal RNA
Rfam family: Eukaryotic small subunit ribosomal RNA
Source: RNAcentral
AACCUGGUUGAUCCUGCCAGUAAUCAUACGCUCGUCUCAAAGAUUAAGCCAUGCAAGUGUAAGUAUAAGCUUUUAUAUAGUGAAACUGCGAAUGGCUCAUUAUAUCAGUUAUAAUUUAUUUGAUAAAAUAAUAUUUUUUUUACUAUAUGGAUAACCGUAGUAAUUCUAGAGCUAAUACAUGAAUAAAUUUUUAUUUUUAUUAAAAUAGCAAUAUUUUAAUAAAAAUAAAAUGUAUUUAUUAGAAUAUAAUCAACUUUAUAUUAUAAUAUUUAAUAGAUAUUAUAAUAUAAAAUAGAUGAUUCAUAAUAAAUUAUAUUUUAUUUAAAAAUAUUUAUUAUUACUAAUCGCAGAUAAUUAAUUUUGGCGAUAUAUCAUUUAAGUUUCUGCCCUAUCAGCUUUAGAUGGUAGUGUAUUGGACUACCAUGGCAAUAACGGGUAACGAAGAAUUUGGGUUCGAUUUCGGAGAGGGAGCCUGAGAAAUGGCUACCACAUCCAAGGAAGGCAGCAGGCGCGUAAAUUACCCAAUCCUAAAAUAGGGAGGUAGUGACAAGAAAUAACAAUGUUAAGCUAUUUAAUAGUUUUAACAAUUGUAAUGAAUAAAAUAUAAAUAAAAUAAUGAAUACAAUUGGAGGGCAAGUCUGAUGCCAGCAGCCGCGGUAACUUCAGCUCCAAUAGCGUAUAUUACCAUUGUUGCAUUUAAAAAGCUCGUAGUUGAAUUUAUUUUUAUAAAUUUAUAAAAAAAAUAUUAUUAUAAUUAUAAUAAAUUCAUUUUUAUUAUAAUUAUUAAUAAAUUAAUAUUUUUUUUUAUUUAUAAAAAAUUUCUUUAUUUUUUAUUAAUUUAUUAAUAAAAAAUAAAAUUUUACUGUGAAAAAAUUAGAGUGUUUAAAGCAUGUUACACAAAAAAAUAUAUUUAAUUAUAUAUUUUGCUUGAAUAUAUUAGCAUGGAAUAAUAAAAUAUAUUAUAUUUUUAUAUUAUUUUGUUGGUUAGAUAUAAAAAUAUAUAAUGAUUAAUAGGGACAAUUGGGGGUAUUUAUAUUUCAUAGUCAGAGGUGAAAUUCUGGGAUUUAUGAAAGAUAAACAAAUGCGAAAGCAUUUACCAAAAAUGUUUUCAUUAAUCAAGAACGAAAGUUAGGGGAUCAAAGAGGCUUAGAUACCCUCGUAGUCUUAACUAUAAACUAUAACACCUAAAUAUUGGUAUAAUAAUUUUAAUAUUUAUUAUUUUAUUUAUAUUUUUAAUAUAAAUAAAUAUAAUAAAUUAAUAAUAUAUAUCAGAAUUUAUAAUGGGAAACCAAAGGUUUUGGUUUAUGGGGGAAGUACGGUCGCAAGGCUGAAACUUAAAGGAAUUGACGGAAGGGCACACCAGAUAUGGGUUAUGCGGCUUAAUUUGACUCAACACGGGGAAACUUACCAGGUCCAGACACAGUUAGGAUUGACAGAUUAAUGAUCUUUCUUGAUUCUGUGGGUGGUGGUGCAUGGCCGUUCUUAGUUGGUGGAGUGAUUUGUCUGGUUAAUUCCGAUAACGAACGAGACCUUCGCUUAUUAAAUAAUUUAAUUAUAUUUUUAUAAUUAUAUUAAUAUUAUUAUAUAUUAUAAUAUUUAUAUUAUAAUAUAUAAUAAUAUUAUAUAAUUAUUAUUAAUAAGAUAUAAUAAAUAUUAUUAUAUUUAUAUAAUAAUAUAAAAUUACUUAAAAGGACACUGAAAAUUUAUUUCAGGGAAGUUGAAGGCAAUAACAGGUCUGUGAUGCCCUUAGAUGUUCUGGGCCGCACGUGUGACACAAUGAUAUAUUCAAUAAGUAUUAUAAAACAAUUUUUUUUUAUUAAAAAAUUAAAAAAUCUAAACUGUAAAGUUAUGAUAAUCUUAAAUAUAUAUCGUGUUUGGGAUUGAUGCUUGUAAUUAUUCAUCAUGAACGAGGAACACCUAGUAAGUGCAAGUCAUCAGCUUGCGCUGAAUACGUCCCUGCCCUUUGUACACACCGCCCGUCGCACCUACCGAUUGGAUGAUCCGAUGAAAAUAAUAGAAAUUUGGAUAAUUAAGUUAUAUUUAUUUAUAAUGAAAUAUUUGAAUUAAAGUUAUUUAAAUCUUAUUAUCUAGAGGAAGGUGAAGUCGUAACAAGGUUUCCGUAGGUGAACCUGCGGAAGGAUCA